This 757-nucleotide ribosomal RNA is filed under the name Niallia circulans. Its description in RNAcentral is "bacterial SSU rRNA". It matches the Rfam family "Bacterial small subunit ribosomal RNA", at positions 91 to 833 of the family's 1533-position model. Lineage: Bacteria; Bacillati; Bacillota; Bacilli; Caryophanales; Bacillaceae. The record is from RNAcentral.
GUUAGCGGCGGACGGGUGAGUAACACGUGGGCAACCUGCCUGUAAGACUGGGAUAACUUCGGGAAACCGGAGCUAAUACCGGAUAAUCCUUUUCCUCUCAUGAGGAAAAGCUGAAAGACGGUUUACGCUGUCACUUACAGAUGGGCCCGCGGCGCAUUAGCUAGUUGGUGAGGUAACGGCUCACCAAGGCAACGAUGCGUAGCCGACCUGAGAGGGUGAUCGGCCACACUGGGACUGAGACACGGCCCAGACUCCUACGGGAGGCAGCAGUAGGGAAUCUUCCGCAAUGGACGAAAGUCUGACGGAGCAACGCCGCGUGAGUGAUGAAGGUUUUCGGAUCGUAAAACUCUGUUGUUAGGGAAGAACAAGUACAAGAGUAACUGCUUGUACCUUGACGGUACCUAACCAGAAAGCCACGGCUAACUACGUGCCAGCAGCCGCGGUAAUACGUAGGUGGCAAGCGUUGUCCGGAAUUAUUGGGCGUAAAGCGCGCGCAGGCGGUCCUUUAAGUCUGAUGUGAAAGCCCACGGCUCAACCGUGGAGGGUCAUUGGAAACUGGGGGACUUGAGUGCAGAAGAGAAGAGUGGAAUUCCACGUGUAGCGGUGAAAUGCGUAGAGAUGUGGAGGAACACCAGUGGCGAAGGCGACUCUUUGGUCUGUAACUGACGCUGAGGCGCGAAAGCGUGGGGGAGCAAACAGGAUUAGAUACCCUGGUAGUCCACGCCGUAAACGAUGAGUGCUAAGUGUUAGAGGGUUU